GCCAUCAAACUUGCAGACUUUUUUUACUCAGUUGCUCACUCUUCUGAGUCUAAAUAUCUAAUGGAGAUUUGGACUUUGUGUUCUGUUUAUUGUCCUCAGUAAUCUGAAGGACAAGCUUGCCUUCAACUCUCACAUAGUACAACCCUCAUUUAGACAGUUAACAGGUACUAUUAAAAUCUCCCAUAGGGCGGGAACUGGCAAUUGCAGCAAUAGACUUGGCUAUCAGAUUUCAUCAAAGGGAGCCUAAGGGCAGUGUGGCCAUGGAUGCCAGCACUCAUGGGGACAGACAGAGAGCAGGAGGAGGAGGCCUUGGUUUCCAAAAAGAGCCAUAGAAAGAACUCCGGGGAGUGGCUCUGCCCACUGUCUGAUGCUUGAAUCCUUACAUAACUGCUCUGAGAAAGGGCUUUUGCUUGGAUUUUUUCAGGGAUAAGGGAACAGGCUUUCUCCCAGAGUGAUCUGUUCUAUUUGGAACAGAUCUGUCUUUGAUAGAAAGUUCUUCCUUACACCUAGCAAAAAAUCAGCCCUCUUGACUCUCCACGUACUGAUCCUAGCCCUGCCUGACCUUUGAGGCCCCAAAUAACAAGUCUAAUCCAUGUGACAGCUUUUUUUUUUUUUUUUUUUUGAGACGGAGUCUCGCUCUGUCGCCCAGGCUGGAGUGCAGUGGCGCGAUCUCGGCUCACUGCAAGCUCCGCCUCCCGGGUUCACACCAUUCUCCUGCCUCAGCCUCCCGAGUAGCUGGGACUACAGGCGCCCGCUACCACGCCCGGCUAAUUUUUUGUAUUUUUAGUAGAGACGGCUUUUAAAGACAGUUUUUGUACCCCUCAAGUUGCUAGGUGGAACCUUCUCAGUGCUUUCAACCAUUCCUCAUUUAGUUGGUUUCCUACCCCUCUUGAUCCUAGUUCUGACCCCUGGAUAUACCACAAUUUGUCAUUAUCCCCUUUAUAGCAUGCUGCCUGGAAGAGAACACAUUAUCUGGCAAUUCUGAGUUGUGUAACAUGUACCCAUGUGUAACAUCUAGCAUGUAGAGUGGAUGGAGCAGAUGUCCACUUACUGGCCUGUAGAGUGGAUGGAGCCGAGGUCCACUUACUAGCAUGUGGGAUGGAUGGAGCCGAUGUCUACCCAUGAUUCUCUCAUGUCCUAAUGCAACCUAGAAUUGUGUUGGUUUAUUUGGCAUCUUGGAUUAUAUUAUUGCCUUCUGUUGAGCUUAUCAUCAACCAGAACUCCCAAGCAGAAUUUUUUUUUUCUGUUUUCAAUAUGCAUGCAGUUGCUUAGCCACAUCUUCCAUAUCCCGCAGGCUUAUUGGACCUUAAAUCUAUAGAUUUCAGCUUCUUGUUGAGAAGUUUUCUUAGCAAUAUUCUGCUGUGGGUAACUUCAGUUUUUAUACACAACAUAAAGAAGUCUCUCUGCAGUGUUUGAGAUAAAUUGAACAUCUGUACCAAGUAGACAACAGAGAGGUUUCUCGGUUGCUAGGGAAGGAUUGGGCAAUUAAUAAGUCCCUGUAUUCCAUCCUUUCACCUUCAGUAAUAUAUAGGUGUCAACCUAAAGGAAGAAGUUGAGACACAAAAUGCAAUUUUUAACAGUUUACUUGAACUGUUUACUUGAACCAAGUGAGGACAGCUGCCCGGGACACACUUCCAAGUUGCCUGGGGGAGUGCGUCCUUCGGCCUUUGUUACCACAGAUUCUUAAAGGCAAAAGCGAACAAGGAGAGGACUGAUACAAAGUGACUUGACAGGAAUUCUCAUCAGUUUACAGAAAUAGCAUGGAUUAUUGAUGGGCUGUACAUUGUUGGACUAUAGGGUAUGAGUUAUGAUGUCCAGUGUUAGCAUUUUAUGACUUAGUGGUGUCAGUUAGUCUAGAACCCACAUAGCAAGUGGCUUCAAGAGGUAAUUAUUUAACUCAAGGGGGGAGUGACACAUGACUGCUCUCACAUUUUAGUGCCUCUCUGGACCCGUAAUUUAAAGGGAUUCCUCAGAUAAAAAGUUUCUUUUCUUUCUCACAAGAUUCACUUGGAAGGUUCUAUCUUCAGAUGCUUUUGGUUUGUUGGAAGGGACUAGAAAUUGGCAGCUUUUUCUUUUUUUCAGUAGAGGCAGGGUCUCACUAUGGUGCCCAGGCUGGUCUUGAACUCCUGGGCCCAAGUGAUCCUCCCACCUCAGCCUCCCCAAAUGCUGGGAUUACAGGUGUGAGACACUGCACUCAGCUGCUGUUUGCAUAAAUAAUUAUGUUCAUUGACACCUAGAAUAUUAGUGCUAGAGGGAGUUGAGAGAUAUUUUAGUUUAUGCCCCAUGCUUUUUGCACAUUUGAAAAUGGUUCACAGGUACUAAGCAAACUGUUGACAGAGGUAGGCUUGGCGCCUGGGCCUCCUGACAUACCUGUAAACUGAUUUACGAGCUUAUACCUGUAUAGCAAGAGGUUACAAUGCUGGUAUUAAGAUACUUCAGAGAUUUUUUUUUUCUCCCGGCCCUCUAGUGAGUUUAAUUGCCCCAGAGCUGGUUGGCGUCCUUGAAUUCCUCUAGCUCAUGAGUAAAUGAAGCUCUCAUAGAUUUUUAGCCAAGUGGCUCUGGCAAUGAAGCUAGGCAGGAUCGUCUCUGGGAUUUCCAGGUCCUUUGCUGGCAUUUUGCCAGGUACUUCCCUUGUGAGAUAGCUUGGGGGUCCUUCCUACAUUGCAAUUGUUGAGAGAAAAUGCGAUCUCCCGUGGAUCUCUCUGGUGCCAGACUGGGGUGUUUCCAAAGGAGUACCCUGGCACUGGACCUAAGGAGAGCCUUCGGCGGAGCACCAUCCUCUGGCAGGUGGUGCUGGGUGUCGGGGCAGGGUGGGGUGCUGUGGCAGCAGUUGGAGGUCCUGUCUCCUCUCAAGGUAGCUGAGAUAGAGUGCCCAGGCUUAAGGUGGGCAUCCAGCCACAUGCCGGAGGACAGUCUGACGGGCAAGUAGCUGUGCCAGUCUGCCAAGUGUCGGGAGGAUUUUUGUCAUUUUUUAUAUUAAUGUACCCUUUUUUUGUCACUUGGUUCUUGAAGAGCAGGAAGUUGACUCUUUCACUGUGCUGUAAUACUCUCUCAUAGCAACUGGGACUCUGUAGAGUGGUUGUUUUCAGAUUCUGACAGGGGUCAGGAGAUAACGUUUUCUGCUUGGUACUACCUAGCUGUUGCAGGGCAGGUUACUUCAUCUUUUAGCAUUGAUUCUUCAUCUUUAAAGUAAGGGGCUUAGAGUGACCUGUGAAGGCUCAUUUAGCAAUGGUCUCUAGGAUUCUAGGGGCCUACAUCGCUCCCAAAAUGUGUCCUUAUUGUGUAUCUUUAAGAAGCCCUUGCUCUUCUCUUUUGUGUAGUAUUAAUAGUAUUCCUGAGUAAAUCC
Molecule: long non-coding RNA, 3346 nt
Filed under: Homo sapiens (human)
Lineage: Eukaryota; Metazoa; Chordata; Mammalia; Primates; Hominidae
Description: HSALNT0330271
Source: RNAcentral